CCUGCAACACUUGCACUAGGUUAAAUAUCAAUCAUAUUGAUCGUUUAACCCUAGAAUGAUUCUUAAUCGUUGAUCAACCAUCCGAUCAGAUAGUGAACUCUAAUGUGUGUGACCUCAUAGGUCCGAACCUAAGUCGGUAGUAUAGAAAUAAAUUUUUGUACCAAUUGAAGUGACCAUCUAGCAAUGAUAUCCGAUAGCCAGAU
This 203-nucleotide long non-coding RNA is filed under the name Elaeis guineensis (African oil palm). RNAcentral's name for it is "long non-coding RNA (EGUI_LNC061034)". Lineage: Eukaryota; Viridiplantae; Streptophyta; Magnoliopsida; Arecales; Arecaceae. The record is from RNAcentral.